GUGGAGCACACGUGGACAGGACAGACUUAAUAUCCGCGCACUGUUGUUGGUGAAGAAUUACAGGCCAACGGGGAAACUGUGACCUGAUUAUUGACGGCCUCACCAACACGGCGGACAGAACGUCCUCCCUCGUGAUGGCGGUUUACCCCCAGAGCUUUGGGCUCAGCCUCCAGAUACUUCUGUUUCCUGGUGUCGUUUCUCUGGAAGCUGAGUGUCACCAGAGGACUCUGAGCUGGGCUGAUGUCUUCCUCCACAACGGCCGCUUCGUCUGGAAACACACACUCUCUUUAUUUCGUACAACACACAGCGGGGAAGACGACGCGCUCUGCAGACGCUUGCGCAACAUCUGGAUUCCAGCACCGUGCGCAAACAUCGCGCGUUUCCAGCAGGAGUUUCCUCAGCUCCAAACUGUAAGACGGGCCCUCUUACCAGCCAUGAUCACAGUAUGCGCUGGAACGCGUCUUCCUGUUCUUUUGUCUCUUUUCUGUCAAUCGACCGCAGGCUGCGGAUCCGAAGUUUUGCAACAGCUUGGUGGACGACCCGAGUCCCGCCCCGCUAUUUCACCGCAACGUGACUUUCGUGAUCACGAAAAACACAAAGGCCUUUUAUUGGUAGAAUCCGGAUCUCCAAAGAGUUCCCAAACAGUGCUUCAAGCACAGGGAACGUUUGACACUAAACCUAGAUCCAGAUGUUACAGCUAUGAUGAGUGUGAGACAGGAGCUGUUCGAACCUGGAUAAGCACAAAUGUGCAGUUUUACAUCCUGUAGUGCUUAGUUCUGUUGUUGUUUUAAGGCAGUGUUUUAUACUACAUUUGCUUCAAUCAUUUCUAUCAGUAACAUAUUUGAAAUAAAACCAUAUUUGAAAAAAAAAGCAUAUACAGGUUUUGAGUAAGUGUAUAUUUGAGUUAUUUUCCAAAAUUAGAAAUGUGAUUAAUGGCAUAGAUUUAAAGUUAUGCGUUUUCAAUGUGUAGCCUGUAAAGCUUUGAUUGUUAUUACUGAAGGAUUAGCACACACUUGCGUAACAAGCAGCUCCAGAUGACAGUUGCUCAUUUCGUAGAGGAAGUGGCUGAAACUGAGAUUUAUUCCUCCUUUGUGUCACUAAUGCCAUGUAGUUCUCUUUCUCCCUUUUCACAUCUACAAUACACAGAAAAAUAAAUAAAUAAAUAAAUAAAUAAAUAAAUAAAUACAUACAUACAUACAUACAUACAUACAUACAUACAUACAUACAUACAUACAUACA
This is a long non-coding RNA of Betta splendens (Siamese fighting fish), 1239 nucleotides long. RefSeq lists it as uncharacterized. NCBI's taxonomy places the organism in Eukaryota, Metazoa, Chordata, Actinopteri, Anabantiformes, Osphronemidae. The transcript is spliced from 2 exons. The record is from RefSeq and is a predicted model, not a curated record.